UACGUAGGGUCCGAGCGUUGUCCGGAAUUAUUGGGCGUAAAGAGCUCGUAGGCGGUUUGUCGCGUCUGCUGUGAAAUCCCGAGGCUCAACCUCGGGCCUGCAGUGGGUACGGGCAGACUGGAGUGCGGUAGGGGAGAAUGGAAUUCCUGGUGUAGCGGUGGAAUGCGCAGAUAUCAGGAGGAACACCGAUGGCGAAGGCAGCUCGCUGGGACGGUACUGACGCUGAGGCGCGAAAGCGUGGGGAGCGAACAGG
This 253-nucleotide ribosomal RNA is filed under the name uncultured bacterium. RNAcentral's name for it is "partial 16S ribosomal RNA". It matches the Rfam family "Bacterial small subunit ribosomal RNA", at positions 524 to 776 of the family's 1533-position model. The record is from RNAcentral.